AGCGUACACGGUGGAUGCCCUGGCAGUCAGAGGCGAUGAAGGACGUGCUAAUCUGCGAAAAGCGCCGGUAAGGUGAUAUGAACCGUUAUAACCGGCGAUGUCCGAAUGGGGAAACCCGGUGCACUUCGGUGCAUCAUCGUUAGCUGAAUACAUAGGCUAACGAGGCGAACCGGGGGAACUGAAACAUCUAAGUACCCCGAGGAAAAGAAAUCAACCGAGAUUCCCCCAGUAGCGGCGAGCGAACGGGGAACAGCCCAGAGCCUGAAUCAGCUUGUGUGUCAGUGGAACGGUCUGGAAAGGCCGGCGAUACAGGGUGACAGCCCCGUACACGAAGGCACACAGGCUGUGAGCUCGAUGAGUAGGGCGGGACACGUGAUAUCCUGUCUGAAGAUGGGGGGACCAUCCUCCAAGGCUAAAUACUCCUGACUGACCGAUAGUGAACCAGUACCGUGAGGGAAAGGCGAAAAGAACCCCGGCGAGGGGAGUGAAACAGAACCUGAAACCGUGUACGUACAAGCAGUGGGAGCCUUCGUAAGAGGGUGACUGCGUACCUUUUGUAUAAUGGGUCAGCGACUUAUAUUCUGUAGCAAGGUUAACCGUAUAGGGGAGCCGAAGGGAAACCGAGUCUUAACCGGGCGUUAAGUUGCAGGGUAUAGACCCGAAACCCGGUGAUCUAGCCAUGGGCAGGUUGAAGGUUGGGUAACACUAACUGGAGGACCGAACCGACUAAUGUUGAAAAAUUAGCGGAUGACCUGUGGCUGGGGGUGAAAGGCCAAUCAAACCGGGAGAUAGCUGGUUCUCCCCGAAAGCUAUUUAGGUAGCGCCUCGUGAACUCAUCUCCGGGGGUAGAGCACUGUUUCGGCUAGGGGGCCAUCCCGGCUUACCAACCCGAUGCAAACUGCGAAUACCGGAGAAUGUUAUCACGGGAGACACACGGCGGGUGCUAACGUCCGUCGUGAAGAGGGAAACAACCCAGACCGCCAGCUAAGGUCCCAAAGUCAUGGUUAAGUGGGAAACGAUGUGGGAAGGCCCAGACAGCCAGGAUGUUGGCUUAGAAGCAGCCAUCAUUUAAAGAAAGCGUAAUAGCUCACUGGUCGAGUCGGCCUGCGCGGAAGAUGUAACGGGGCUAAACCAUGCACCGAAGCUGCGGCAGCGACGCUUAUGCGUUGUUGGGUAGGGGAGCGUUCUGUAAGCCUGUGAAGGUGUGCUGUGAGGCAUGCUGGAGGUAUCAGAAGUGCGAAUGCUGACAUAAGUAACGAUAAAGCGGGUGAAAAGCCCGCUCGCCGGAAGACCAAGGGUUCCUGUCCAACGUUAAUCGGGGCAGGGUGAGUCGACCCCUAAGGCGAGGCCGAAAGGCGUAGUCGAUGGGAAACAGGUUAAUAUUCCUGUACUUGGUGUUACUGCGAAGGGGGGACGGAGAAGGCUAUGUCGGCCGGGCGACGGUUGUCCCGGUUUAAGCGUGUAGGCUGACUUUCCAGGCAAAUCCGGAAAGUUAAGGCUGAGGCGUGAUGACGAGGCACCACGGUGCUGAAGUGACAAAUGCCCUGCUUCCAGGAAAAGCCUCUAAGCAUCAGGUAACAUCAAAUCGUACCCCAAACCGACACAGGUGGUCAGGUAGAGAAUACCAAGGCGCUUGAGAGAACUCGGGUGAAGGAACUAGGCAAAAUGGUGCCGUAACUUCGGGAGAAGGCACGCUGACAUGUAGGUGAAGCCCCUGCGGGUGGAGCUGAAGUCAGUCGAAGAUACCAGCUGGCUGCAACUGUUUAUUAAAAACACAGCACUGUGCAAACACGAAAGUGGACGUAUACGGUGUGACGCCUGCCCGGUGCCGGAAGGUUAAUUGAUGGGGUUAUCGCAAGAGAAGCUCCUGAUCGAAGCCCCGGUAAACGGCGGCCGUAACUAUAACGGUCCUAAGGUAGCGAAAUUCCUUGUCGGGUAAGUUCCGACCUGCACGAAUGGCGUAAUGAUGGCCAGGCUGUCUCCACCCGAGACUCAGUGAAAUUGAACUCGCUGUGAAGAUGCAGUGUACCCGCGGCAAGACGGAAAGACCCCGUGAACCUUUACUACAGCUUGACACUGAACAUUGAGCCUUGAUGUGUAGGAUAGGUGGGAGGCUUUGAAGCGUGGACGCCAGUCUGCGUGGAGCCGACCUUGAAAUACCACCCUUUAAUGUUUGAUGUUCUAACCUGGCGCCGUGAUCCGGCGUGGGGACAGUGUCUGGUGGGUAGUUUGACUGGGGCGGUCUCCUCCCAAAGUGUAACGGAGGAGCACGAAGGUCAGCUAAUCCUGGUCGGACAUCAGGAGGUUAGUGCAAUGGCAUAAGCUGGCUUGACUGCGAGAGUGACGGCUCGAGCAGGUGCGAAAGCAGGUCAUAGUGAUCCGGUGGUUCUGUAUGGAAGGGCCAUCGCUCAACGGAUAAAAGGUACUCCGGGGAUAACAGGCUGAUACCGCCCAAGAGUUCAUAUCGACGGCGGUGUUUGGCACCUCGAUGUCGGCUCAUCACAUCCUGGGGCUGAAGUAGGUCCCAAGGGUAUGGCUGUUCGCCAUUUAAAGUGGUACGCGAGCUGGGUUUAGAACGUCGUGAGACAGUUCGGUCCCUAUCUGCCGUGGGCGCUGGAGAAUUGAGGGGGGCUGCUCCCAGUACGAGAGGACCGGAGUGGACGCAUCACUGGUGUUCGGGUUGUCAUGCCAAUGGCACUGCCCGGUAGCUAAAUGCGGAAGAGAUAAGUGCUGAAAGCAUCUAAGCACGAAACUUGCCCCGAGAUGAGUUCU
This 2772-nucleotide ribosomal RNA is filed under the name Cronobacter sakazakii. RNAcentral describes it as "bacterial LSU rRNA". It matches the Rfam family "Bacterial large subunit ribosomal RNA". The record is from RNAcentral. Lineage: Bacteria; Pseudomonadati; Pseudomonadota; Gammaproteobacteria; Enterobacterales; Enterobacteriaceae.